AUCUGAGGGAUAGCUCAGUUGGUAGAGUGUGAGACCCUCAAUCCCAGGGUUGUUGGUUUGAGCUCCACUUUGGGCA
Molecule: non-coding RNA, 76 nt
Organism: Podarcis lilfordi (Lilford's wall lizard)
Lineage: Eukaryota; Metazoa; Chordata; Lepidosauria; Squamata; Lacertidae
Source: the annotation of a GenBank genome assembly